RNAcentral lists this ribosomal RNA (455 nucleotides) under uncultured bacterium. RNAcentral's name for it is "bacterial SSU rRNA". It matches the Rfam family "Bacterial small subunit ribosomal RNA", at positions 28 to 524 of the family's 1533-position model. The record is from RNAcentral.
GAUAAACGCUGGCGGCGUGCCUAACACAUGCAAGUCGAACGAUCCCGCAAGGGAGAGUGGCGGAAGGGUGAGUAACACGUGGGAAUCUACCUCCUCGCAGGGAACAACCUCUCGAAAGAGAGGCUAAUACCCAAAAGGGUCAGAAAUGAUCAGAGUCGAAAGGCGUGAGGAGAGGAGCCCGCGGCCCAUCAGCUAGUUGGUGAGGUAAUGGCUUACCAAGGCUACGACGGGUAGGGGAUCUGAGAGGAUGUCCCCCACACUGGAACUGAAACACGGUCCAGACGCCUACGGGUGGCAGCAGUGAGGAAUAUUGGACAAUGGGCGAAAGCCCGAUCCAGCAACGCCGCGUGGAGGAUGAAGGCCUUCGGGUCGUAAACUUCUUUAGAGGGAAGACGGAGAAAGGACGGUAUCCCUAGAUAAGCGACGGCAAACUACGUGCCAGCAGCCGCGGUAAU